This 719-nucleotide ribosomal RNA is filed under the name uncultured bacterium. Its description in RNAcentral is "bacterial SSU rRNA". It matches the Rfam family "Bacterial small subunit ribosomal RNA", at positions 1 to 773 of the family's 1533-position model. The record is from RNAcentral.
UAGAGUUUGAUCAGGCUCAGAAUGAACGCUGGCGGCAUGCCUAACACAUGCAAGUCGAACGAAGGCUUCGGCCUUAGUGGCGCACGGGUGCGUAACGCGUGGGAAUCUGCCCCUUGGUUCGGAAUAACAGUUGGAAACGACUGCUAAUACCGGAUGAUGACGUAAGUCCAAAGAUUUAUCGCCGAGGGAUGAGCCCGCGUAGGAUUAGGUAGUUGGUGUGGUAAAGGCGCACCAAGCCGACGAUCCUUAGCUGGUCUGAGAGGAUGAUCAGCCACACUGGGACUGAGACACGGCCCAGACUCCUACGGGAGGCAGCAGUGGGGAAUAUUGGACAAUGGGCGAAAGCCUGAUCCAGCAAUGCCGCGUGAGUGAUGAAGGCCUUAGGGUUGUAAAGCUCUUUUACCCGGGAUGAUAAUGACAGUACCGGGAGAAUAAGCUCCGGCUAACUCCGUGCCAGCAGCCGCGGUAAUACGGAGGGAGCUAGCGUUAUUCGGAAUUACUGGGCGUAAAGCGCACGUAGGCGGCUUUGUAAGUAAGAGGUGAAAGCCCAGAGCUCAACUCUGGAAUUGCCUUUUAGACUGCAUCGCUUGAAUCAUGGAGAGGUCAGUGGAAUUCCGAGUGUAGAGGUGAAAUUCGUAGAUAUUCGGAAGAACACCAGUGGCGAAGGCGGCUGACUGGACAUGUAUUGACGCUGAGGUGCGAAAGCGUGGGGAGCAAAC